ACUCAAAGGAAUAGACGGGGGCCCGCACAAGCGGUGGAGCAUGUGGUUUAAUUCGAUGCAACGCGAAGAACCUUACCUACUUUUGACAUCCCUGGGAUCUGACUGAGAAGUUGGAGUGCCGCAAGGAACCAGGAGACAGGUGCUGCAUGGCUGUCGUCAGCUCGUGUUGUGAGAUGUUGGGUUAAGUCCCGUAACGAGCGCAACCCUUGUCCUUAGUUACCAGCACGUGAUGGUGGGGACUCUAAGGAGACUGCUGGUGAAGAACCGGAGGAAGGCGGGGACGACGUCAAGUCAUCAUGGCCUUUAUGAGUAGGGCUACACACGUGCUACAAUGGGGUGAACAGAGGGAAGCCAACCUGCGAAGGGGAGCCAAUCCCAGAAAACACCUCGUAGUCCAGAUUGAAGUCUGCAACUCGACUUCAUGAAGUCGGAAUCGCUAGUAAUCGCGAAUCAGCAUUGUCGCGGUGAAUACGUUCCCGGGCCUUGUACACACCGCCCGU
This 500-nucleotide ribosomal RNA is filed under the name uncultured bacterium. RNAcentral's name for it is "partial 16S ribosomal RNA". It matches the Rfam family "Bacterial small subunit ribosomal RNA", at positions 899 to 1397 of the family's 1533-position model. The record is from RNAcentral.